This 404-nucleotide transfer-messenger RNA is filed under the name Burkholderiales. RNAcentral describes it as "Bordetella_C aloeverae Standard tmRNA". It matches the Rfam family "transfer-messenger RNA". Rfam says of the family: Bacterial tmRNA, also known as 10Sa RNA or SsrA, is named for its dual tRNA and mRNA-like properties. Its role is to liberate the mRNA from a stalled ribosome. Lineage: Bacteria; Pseudomonadati; Pseudomonadota; Betaproteobacteria. RNAcentral also lists the same sequence under 1 other name. The record is from RNAcentral.
GGGGCCGAUCCGGAUUCGACGUGGGUCGCGAAACAGUCAGGGCAUGCCGAGCACCAGUCAGCUCGUAAAUCCACUGGACAACCACAAACGCCAACGAAGACGUUUUCGCUCAACAGCCCGCCCUGCGUGCUGCCUAAAUGAGCUGCGGCACUGACUUGUCUUUGGGUCAGAUGGAGGGAGGCAACUCCCUAGGAGAGGUAACUCUUCGAACCAUGGCCGUAUCACUUAACAAAGAAUCGGCGUAUUCCGGGGUCUGACGGGGUACGUUUAAAUCACAUGACUCGCUUCGGUCCGGCCUGUCGACUGGCUAAGAUUCGAAGUUAAAUCCAAAUAGGUCGACUACGCAUGUAGAACUGCCUGCGGAGGGCUUGCGGACGGGGGUUCAAUUCCCCCCGGCUCCACCA